CAUGCAAGUCGAACGGAAAGGCCCUUCGGGGUGCUCGAGUGGCGAACGGGUGAGUAACACGUGGGUGAUCUGCCCUGCACUUUGGGAUAAGCCUGGGAAACUGGGUCUAAUACCGGAUAGGACUACGCACUGCAUGGUGUGUGGUGGAAAGCGUUUGCGGUGUGGGAUGGGCCCGCGGCCUAUCAGUUUGUUGGUGGGUGAUGGCCUACCAAGGCGACGACGGGUAGCCGGCCUGAGAGGGUGUCCGGCCACACUGGGACUGAGAUACGGCCCAGACUCCUACGGGAGGCAGCAGUGGGGAAUAUUGCACAAUGGGCGCAAGCCUGAUGCAGCGACGCCGCGUGAGGGAUGACGGCCUUCGGGUUGUAAACCUCUUUCACUAGGGACGAAGCGGAAGUGACGGUACCUAGAGAAGAAGCACCGGCCAACUACGUGCCAGCAGCCGCGGUAAUACGUAGGGUGCGAGCGUUGUCCGGAAUUACUGGGCGUAAAGAGCUCGUAGGUGGUUUGUCGCGUUGUUCGUGAAAACUCACA
Molecule: ribosomal RNA, 534 nt
Filed under: uncultured Mycobacterium sp.
Lineage: Bacteria; Bacillati; Actinomycetota; Actinomycetes; Mycobacteriales; Mycobacteriaceae
Description: bacterial SSU rRNA
Rfam family: Bacterial small subunit ribosomal RNA
Source: RNAcentral